Dromaius novaehollandiae (emu) is the source of this 1877-nucleotide long non-coding RNA. RefSeq lists it as uncharacterized. The record is from RefSeq and is a predicted model, not a curated record. The transcript is spliced from 3 exons. NCBI's taxonomy places the organism in Eukaryota, Metazoa, Chordata, Aves, Casuariiformes, Dromaiidae.
AUCUCCCUUUUUUCUCUUUUCUUUCUUUUUUUCUCUUUUCUUUUUUCUCUUUUCUCUUUUCUUUCUUUUUUCUUUUUUAUCUUUUCUUUCUUUUUUCUUUCUUUUUCUUUUCUUUUUUUUUGUCUCCAGGAAUUGCUUUUAGGAACCAUCCCCUGAGUUUUAAAGGACCGAAAAAGGACUUUCCAAGCCAGGGUGAGACCCCUCCUGGGUGCCCCCAGCAGGCGCUGGCUCGGCUGUCGGCAUGAGCAUGGCUCCGGGAGGUCGAAACGAGAUCUGCCUGCGGGAAAUCGGUUAACCCCUGUGGUGUUGCUCUGUGUCAGCUGCACGUAAGGACACUCUGCAGCAGGUUUAAAACUCAGCCAUGUUUCAUAACUCAGAGGAGUCUUUGAAGGUGUGUCCCAGAGCUGUGCUUCGAGCAGAAGGAAAGAGGCUUUGAGGAUCUCACCCUCUUCACACAGGACAACUGGCAACUUAGCUACUUCAAAGGAGAUAAAAAGGUCAUUAAAAAUUACUUCUUGACCAAAUGGAAAAUGAUAAUGAGGGUCACUUGGUCCUCUCCUCUGCUUUUGAAACCUGUAGUUUUUAAAUUUCAGAAAUUAGUUGGAAAUGUACUUUUGUCACAAGGCACCUCUAACACUUUGCUGUCUGCCGUUCACACAAGUGCUUGGCAUUUUCAAGGUGGUGAUGCUGGGGAAAAUCUAAAGCUGUGGACCUGCAACCAAAGGCUGUGCUCUUAAAAUGGCAAAAUAUGUGACCACUCGUGGUGGGUCUGCACUCUAAAGCAGGAUUUGAUGAGUCACACAAGGACCCUUCCGGGCUGCCUCAGGCUGGAGAUGCCCAUGGCUGGAAGGAGCCCGGUGUCAGUGUGUGGGCUGUGUAGCCAGUCUGCCUGGCUUGCUCGAUCCAGAGCUACCUCCGGGCUGCCAGUCAUCUGCUUCAUCUUUGUGGAUGCAGGCUGGGGUUGAUAGGUUCAUUUCACUAGGGCAAGGACAUAUCCACAGAAGCCCAGGAAUGCACCAUAGCGUACCCAUCAAGGCCUCCAGAAGAAUCAAAAAGCACGUGGAGGCCCUGGGGGAGACCAAGGGCCCGUGGAGGCCCCUGGGCACACAGAAAGGCCAAGAGGCCCUGGGAUGCAUCAAAAGGCACAUGGAGGCCUUUCGGCACAGAGAAGGGCCUGUGGAUGGGCCUGUGGCACUCGGAAGAGCACAUCGAGGCCCUGAGUCCACUAGAAGGCCCAUGGAGCUCCCGGGGAGCACUGAAAGAAGGCCCUGGGGUGCACCAAAAGGCACGCAGGGGCUCUGUGGCCCCGUGAAUGGCCCGCAGAAGCCCUGAGGGACACUGAAAGGCACGUGGAGACUCCUGGGGCUCACCAGAAGGCCAACAGAGGUCCUGGGUAGCACCAAAAAGCCCCCAGAGGCCAUGGAGCACCUGAAAAGUCACUCAGAAGCCCUGGGGCACACUGAAAAGCCAUCAGAGGCCCUGGGACACACCAAGCAGACCACGGAGGACCUGUGAAGAAACCUUCUGUGGCGUUUUUGUUUUUAUUUUAUUUUCUAUUUUAUUUUAUCUUCCCCAGAGGUUAUAAAAGAAUGUCAGGAUAAAAAACUAGGAAGGGGUGUGUGUUUUGUUUGUGAAGUUGCUCUGGAAAGGAGUUACUGAUAGCAACCCAAAUCUUCUGUGAUUGCCUACAGAGACUCUUUUGGGUAAAUCUGCUCCAAUUACUCCAUGAGACUUAGAGCUAUUUCUUCUUGCUGAGGAAAAGUGAAUUCAUUAGGUUGUGAAACUUAGCAGUCUUGAAUAGUAUGUGAUAAAGCAGGAUCUUGUGGUAUGUAACUUCAUUAGAUCCUAUCCCCAUUAAAUAAAAGUUGGCUCUUUGG